This 402-nucleotide ribosomal RNA is filed under the name Nitrospina sp. RNAcentral describes it as "bacterial SSU rRNA". It matches the Rfam family "Bacterial small subunit ribosomal RNA", at positions 1 to 396 of the family's 1533-position model. The record is from RNAcentral. Lineage: Bacteria; Pseudomonadati; Nitrospinota; Nitrospinia; Nitrospinales; Nitrospinaceae.
UAACUGGAGAGUUUGAUCCUGGCUCAGAACGAACGCUGGCGGCGUGCCUAACACAUGCAAGUCGAACGAGAAAGUUUCCUUCGGGAAACCGGUAAAGUGGCGCAAGGGUGAGUAACACGUGAAUAAUCUGCCUACGAAUUCGGGAUAACUUGACGAAAGUUGUGCUAAUACCGAAUAAGACCACGUCUCUUAUGUGAUGUGGCCAAAGGAGUCUCAAACUCCGUUUGUAGAUGAGUUCGCGGACCAUUAGCUUGUUGGAGGGAUAACAGCCCCCCAAGGCUACGAUGGUUAGCCGGCCUGAGAGGGUGAUCGGCCACACUGGAACUGAGACACGGUCCAGACUCCUACGGGAGGCAGCAGUGGGGAAUAUUGCGCAAUGGGCGAAAGCCUGACGCAGCAACG